UUCUACAGCCAUAUCACCCUUCAGCCCAAGACUGGUUGCUCACUGAAGCUAAGCAGGGUUGAGCCUGGUCAGUACCUGGAUGGGAGACCUCCUGGGAAAACUAGGUUGCUGUUGGAA
RNAcentral lists this ribosomal RNA (117 nucleotides) under Sinocyclocheilus anshuiensis. Lineage: Eukaryota; Metazoa; Chordata; Actinopteri; Cypriniformes; Cyprinidae. The record is from RNAcentral.